ACGGCUCAGUAACACGUAGUUAACCUCCCCUUAAGUCAUGGAUAUCCUCGGGAAACUGAGGUUAAUACAUGAUAGGAGAUGAUUUCUGGAAGGAGUUUUCUCUGAAACUAGCGCUUAAGGACGGGACUGCAGCCGAUUAGGUAGUUGGCGGGGUAAUAGCCCACCAAGCCUUUGAUCGGUAAGGGCUUUUAGCGAAGGGGCCCUGAGAUGGAAUCUUAGACACUAUUCCAAGCCCUACGGGGUGCAGCAGUUAGGAAUCUUCUGCAAUGCGCGCAAGCGUGACAGAGCGAGCCAGAGUGUUUCUCUUUGAGAAACUUUUGCCAGCUGUAAAUAGGCUGGCGAAUAAGGACUGGGCAAGAUCGGUGCCAGCCGCCGCGGUAAUCCCGACGGUCCAAGUCGCAGCCACAAUUAUUGGGUCUAAAACAUCCGUAGCUUGUUUCGUAAGUCUCCUGUGAAAUCCGGCAUCUUAAGUGUCGGACGUGCAAGAGAUACUGCGGGGCUAGAGACUGGAGGACGUGAAGAGUACAGUUGAGGUGGUGGUAAAAUACGUUAAUCUUAACUGGACUAACAAUAGCGAAGGCACUUCACGACGACAGAUCUGACAGUGAGAGAUGAAAGCGAGGGGCGCAAAAAGGAUUAGAUACCCUUGUAGUCCUCGCAGUAAACACUGCACACUAAACAUUAGUACCUCCUCGGGAGGUAUUGGUGCUGUAGCGAAGGCGAAGAGUGUGCUACCUGGGAAGUAUAGUCGCAAGGCCGAAACUUAAAGGAAUUGGCGGGGGAGCAC
RNAcentral lists this ribosomal RNA (787 nucleotides) under uncultured archaeon. RNAcentral describes it as "bacterial SSU rRNA". It matches the Rfam family "Archaeal small subunit ribosomal RNA", at positions 85 to 879 of the family's 1478-position model. The record is from RNAcentral.